GCCGGGGUAGUUCAACGGCAGAACAUCAGCCCUCCAAGCUGAUUGUGCGGGUUCGAUUCCCGCCCUCGGCUCCA
Molecule: transfer RNA, 74 nt
Filed under: Caudoviricetes sp.
Lineage: Duplodnaviria; Heunggongvirae; Uroviricota; Caudoviricetes
Description: tRNA-Gly
Rfam family: tRNA
About the family: Transfer RNA (tRNA) molecules are approximately 80 nucleotides in length. Their secondary structure includes four short double-helical elements and three loops (D, anti-codon, and T loops).
Source: RNAcentral